RNAcentral lists this ribosomal RNA (753 nucleotides) under Calopadia foliicola. Its description in RNAcentral is "SSU rRNA". It matches the Rfam family "Bacterial small subunit ribosomal RNA", at positions 390 to 1273 of the family's 1533-position model. The record is from RNAcentral. Lineage: Eukaryota; Fungi; Ascomycota; Lecanoromycetes; Lecanorales; Ectolechiaceae.
AAGAACGCAUAGCGAAAGCUAAUUGUAUGAUAUACAAUAUCAAUUUAUUUGAAUAAAGUUCUGUUUAAUAUAAUGAUGAUGACAUAUAUUAAUCAUGUGUCUUGACCAAAUUACGUGCCAGCAGUCGCGGUAAUACGUAGUAGACUAGUGUUAUUCAUCUUUAAUAGGUUUAAAGGGUACCUAGACGGUAAAUAAAGCCUAUGGAACUAAUUUACUAGAGUUACUUACGAGGGAGCUAAAAAGUACUGGUGGUGUAGAGAUGAAAUUUUAUAAUACCUUUCUUCAUAAGAGCAGUGACGGCACAGAUUAAGGCGAAAGCAUCUCCCUAUGUGAUAGCUUCAUAAAACAAAAAGGAUUAGAUACCCUUGUAGUUGAAAGCAGAAAAUGAUGAGUGUCAUAGAUUAAUUUAUUCUAUAAAUGAUAGUGUAAGCACUCCACCUCAAGAGUAAUAUGGCAACAUUGGAACUGAAAUCAUUAGACCGUUUCUGAAACCAGUAGUGAAGUAUGUUGUUUAAUUUGAUAAUCCGCAAAAAACCUUACCAUGAAUAUUUACAAGCGCUGCACGGCUGUCUUCAGCUAAUGUCGUGAGACUUUGGUUAACUCCAUUUAAUUAGCGUAAACCCUUACUUUAUUUUUAUAUAAAGUAGUUCUCCAUUAUAUAGGAUAAGAUAACAGGGAUUAAGACAAGUCAUCAUGGCCAUAAGUGUAGUAAGCCUUUACAAAAGGAUGUGAAAUUGUGAAAUUGAGCUAAUC